UAAUGCCGGAUGCUCCAGUUGAUCGCAUGGUCUUCUGGGAAAGCUUUCGCGGUAUGGGAUGGGGUCGCGUCCUAUCAGCUUGACGGCGGGGUAACGGCCCACCGUGGCUUCGACGGGUAGCCGGCCUGAGAGGGCGACCGGCCACAUUGGGACUGAGAUACGGCCCAGACUCCUACGGGAGGCAGCAGUGGGGAAUAUUGCACAAUGGGCGCAAGCCUGAUGCAGCGACGCCGCGUGAGGGAUGGAGGCCUUCGGGUUGUAAACCUCUUUUAUCGGGGAGCAAGCGAGAGUGAGUUUACCCGUUGAAUAAGCACCGGCUAACUACGUGCCAGCAGCCGCGGUAAUACGUAGGGUGCAAGCGUUAUCCGGAAUUAUUGGGCGUAAAGGGCUCGUAGGCGGUUCGUCGCGUCCGGUGUGAAAGUCCAUCGCUUAACGGUGGAUCCGCGCCGGGUACGGGCGGGCUUGAGUGCGGUAGGGGAGACUGGAAUUCCCGGUGUAACGGUGGAAUGUGUAGAUAUCGGAAAGAGAACACC
RNAcentral lists this ribosomal RNA (533 nucleotides) under Bifidobacterium longum subsp. suillum. RNAcentral's name for it is "bacterial SSU rRNA". It matches the Rfam family "Bacterial small subunit ribosomal RNA", at positions 164 to 710 of the family's 1533-position model. The record is from RNAcentral. Lineage: Bacteria; Bacillati; Actinomycetota; Actinomycetes; Bifidobacteriales; Bifidobacteriaceae.